Aotus nancymaae (Ma's night monkey) is the source of this 108-nucleotide unclassified non-coding RNA. It matches the Rfam family "Y RNA". From Rfam's summary of the family: Y RNAs are components of the Ro ribonucleoprotein particle (Ro RNP), in association with Ro60 and La proteins. The Y RNAs and Ro60 and La proteins are well conserved, but the function of the Ro RNP is not known. The record is from Ensembl. Lineage: Eukaryota; Metazoa; Chordata; Mammalia; Primates; Aotidae.
AGCUGGUCCAGAAGCAGUAAGUUAUUACAGUUGAUCGUUCAGAUACAGAUGGAACUCCUUGUUCUACUCUUUUCCUCCCUUCUCACUACUGUACUUGACUUGUCUUAA